This 458-nucleotide ribosomal RNA is filed under the name uncultured bacterium. RNAcentral describes it as "partial 16S ribosomal RNA". It matches the Rfam family "Bacterial small subunit ribosomal RNA", at positions 338 to 795 of the family's 1533-position model. The record is from RNAcentral.
CCUACGGGUGGCAGCAGUGAGGAAUAUUGGUCAAUGGGCGAGAGCCUGAACCAGCCAAGUCGCGUGAGGGAGUACUGCCCUAUGGGUUGUAAACCUCUUUUGUCGGGGAGCAAAGGCCGGACGUGUCCGGCUGUGAGAGUACCCGAAGAAAAAGCAUCGGCAAACUCCGUGCCAGCCGCCGCGGUAAUACGGAGGAUGCGAGCGUUAUCCGGAUUUUAUGGGUUUAAAGGGGGCGCGGGGGGGUUUUUAAGUCAGCGGUAAAAUCGGGGGGCUAAACCCCAUCCAGCCGUUGAAACUGGGGAUCUAGAGAGUGCGAGAGGUAUGCGGAAUGCGUGGUGUAGCGGUGAAAUGCAUAGAGAUCACGCAGAACCCCGAUUGCGAAGGCAGCAUACCGGUGCACAACUGACGCUCAGGCACGAAAGCGUGGGUAUCGAACAGGAUUAGAUACCCUAGUAGUC